This 906-nucleotide long non-coding RNA is filed under the name Piliocolobus tephrosceles (Ugandan red Colobus). RNAcentral's name for it is "lncRNA (ENSPTEG00000002654.1)". Lineage: Eukaryota; Metazoa; Chordata; Mammalia; Primates; Cercopithecidae. The record is from RNAcentral.
AAAAAAAAAACACGUUAAAAUAUUACUUUAUUUUAAAAAAAUAGCUAUUUUUUUUUGUUCCUUUUUUUUUAUAUUAAAAGGAUAAGUCAAACUAUGAAAAUAUGAUUCUUAAGAGAGAAACAGAAUGCCUACAAAAAAAAAUCAAGAAUUUAGAAGAUGUUUAUAUCGAAAAAGAAAAUAAAAUUAUGGAAAUAUUAGAAGAGAAAGAAGAUCUUAAAGAUCAUAUAUUCGAAAUAGAAAACGAAAAUUCCAAACUAAGGGAUAAUAUUGCCAAGCUUAAUGAAAGAAUAUUAGAUUUAACAGAUGUGUGUAAAACAUACAGACAUAUGAUUAAAACUAGAAACAAAGAAUUACAACAAAGUGAUAUCUUAAUUAUAGAGAAUAAGAACUUAAGAAAUAUUAUUGAAGAUAUGAAGAACCAUAAAUUAUUAUUAGAAUCGAAGAUCACAAAAAAAAAUAAAAUAAUUGAUGUGAUUAAGGAAAAAUACCAAAAAAAUAUAUCAAGAAUAUUAGAAAAGUUUAAUGAAAAGGAUAAAUGCAUUAACGAGUUUCGAAGUUAUGUUAUUCACGGUAUGAGAACAUAAAAGAAAAAAAAAAAAAAAAUUCAUACAAAUUAUUGUAUUAAUAUUAGGAAUUCAUUUUUUUUAACUGCUUUCUUAUAAUUGCUUUUUUAUUAAUGCAUAUGCAAUGUAAAUGGUUUAUAUACAAUGUAAAUGGUUCAUAUGUGAUCACUGGCAGAAGCACACAUUUAUAUAUACAUAUGUACAUGUUUGUACAUACUUUUUUAAUUUUUCUUUUUAGAGUUAAACGGUUUUAAGAUGGAGCUUCUCCAAGAAACUGAUAAUACAUGUGGUAAUAAGAAUGUGCAAGAUAAUAAAAUUUUAAAUAUAUGUUCUUACUUGGACA